RNAcentral lists this ribosomal RNA (273 nucleotides) under uncultured bacterium. Its description in RNAcentral is "partial 16S ribosomal RNA". It matches the Rfam family "Bacterial small subunit ribosomal RNA", at positions 29 to 327 of the family's 1533-position model. The record is from RNAcentral.
AACGAACGCUGGCGGCAUGCCUAACACAUGCAAGUCGAACGAGACCCUUCGGGUCUAGUGGCGCACGGUGCGUAACGCGUGGGAAUCUGCCCUUAGGUACGGAAUAACUCACGGGAAACUUGAGCUAAUACCGUAUAAUGACUCCGGUCCAAAGAUUUAUCGCCUAAGGAUGAGCCCCGCGUCGGAUUAGCUAGUUGGUGAGGUAAAAGCUCACCAAGGCGACGAUCCGUAGCUGGCUUGAGAGGAUGAUCAGCCACACUGGGACUGAGACAC